GGAAGUAAAAGUCGUAACAAGGUUUCCGUAGGUGAACCUGCGGAAGGAUCAUUAUUGAAUUAAUGUAGAGUUUGGUUGUAGCUGGCUCCUAAUUAAACUUGGGGGCAUGUGCACACCUUUCUCUUUCAUCCCAUACACACCUGUGCACCUGUGAGACAGAUGUUUUGUGGGGGGGAAGGAACUUUAUUGGACCUUCUACUCCCCCUUGACUUCUGUCUACUUAAUUCAUAUAAACUCAAUUUAUUUUAAAACGGAUGUAAUGGAUGUAACACAUCUAAUACUAAGUUUCAACAACGGAUCUCUUGGCUCUCGCAUCGAUGAAGAACGCAGCGAAAUGCGAUAAGUAAUGUGAAUUGCAGAAUUCAGUGAAUCAUCGAAUCUUUGAACGCACCUUGCGCNCCUUGGUAUUCCUUGGAGCAUGCCUGUUUGAGUAUCAUGAAAUCUUCAAAGUCAAACCUUUUGUUAAUUCAAUUGGUUCUGCUUUGGUAUUGGAGGAUUAUUGCAGCUUCACACCUGCUCCUCUUUGUGCAUUAGCUGGAUCUCAGUGUUAUGCUUGGUUCCACUCAGCGUGAUAAGUUAUCUAUCGCUGAGGACACCCUGUUAAAAAGGGGUGGCCAAGGUAAAUGCAGAUGAACCGCUUCUAAUAGUCCAUUGACUUGGACAAUAUCUAAUUUAUGAUCUGAUCUCAAAUCAGGUAGGACUACCCGCUGAACUUAAGCAUAUCAAUAAGCGGAGGA
Molecule: ribosomal RNA, 737 nt
Filed under: Rhizoctonia solani
Lineage: Eukaryota; Fungi; Basidiomycota; Agaricomycetes; Cantharellales; Ceratobasidiaceae
Description: eukaryotic LSU rRNA
Rfam family: 5.8S ribosomal RNA (bases 283-436)
Source: RNAcentral